GAUCAUGGCUCAGGAUGAACGCUGGCGGCGUGCUUAACACAUGCAAGUCGAACGAUGAAGCCCUGCUUGCAGGGUGGAUUAGUGGCGAACGGGUGAGUAACACGUGAGUAACCUGCCCCUGACUCUGGGAUAAGCCCGGGAAACUGGGUCUAAUACCGGAUAUGACUUCCUACUGCAUGGUGGGUUGUUGAAAGAUUUAUCGGUGGGGGAUGGACUCGCGGCCUAUCAGCUUGUUGGUGAGGUAAUGGCUCACCAAGGCGACGACGGGUAGCCGGCCUGAGAGGGUGACCGGCCACACUGGGACUGAGACACGGCCCAGACUCCUACGGGAGGCAGCAGUGGGGAAUAUUGCACAAUGGGCGCAAGCCUGAUGCAGCGACGCCGCGUGAGGGAUGACGGCCUUCGGGUUGUAAACCUCU
This 419-nucleotide ribosomal RNA is filed under the name bacterium 4B-12. Its description in RNAcentral is "bacterial SSU rRNA". It matches the Rfam family "Bacterial small subunit ribosomal RNA", at positions 15 to 434 of the family's 1533-position model. The record is from RNAcentral.